RNAcentral lists this ribosomal RNA (301 nucleotides) under uncultured bacterium. RNAcentral's name for it is "partial 16S ribosomal RNA". It matches the Rfam family "Bacterial small subunit ribosomal RNA", at positions 509 to 807 of the family's 1533-position model. The record is from RNAcentral.
CAGCCGCCGCGGUAAUACGUAGGGUGCAAGCGUUAAUCGGAAUUACUGGGCGUAAAGCGCACGUAGGCGGUUUUGUAAGUCAGAGGUGAAAGCCCGGAGCUCAGCUCCGGAACUGCCUUUGAGACUGCAUCACUUGAACGUCGGAGAGGUGAGUGGAAUUCCGAGUGUAGAGGUGAAAUUCGUAGAUAUUCGGAAGAACACCAGUGGCGAAGGCGGCUCACUGGACGACUGUUGACGCUGAGGUGCAAAAGCGUGGGGAGCAAACAGGAUUAGAUACCCGCGUAGUCCCUGUCUCUUAUAC